This 348-nucleotide ribosomal RNA is filed under the name uncultured Acholeplasma sp. Its description in RNAcentral is "bacterial SSU rRNA". It matches the Rfam family "Bacterial small subunit ribosomal RNA", at positions 1034 to 1382 of the family's 1533-position model. Lineage: Bacteria; Bacillati; Mycoplasmatota; Mollicutes; Acholeplasmatales; Acholeplasmataceae. The record is from RNAcentral.
ACAGGUGGCGCACGGUUGUCGUCAGCUCGUGUCGUGAGAUGUUGGGUUAAGUCCCGCAACGAGCGCAACCCUACUUGCUAGUUACCGUCAUUAAGUUGGGGACUCUAGCGAGACUGCCAGUGAUAAACUGGAGGAAGGUGGGGAUGACGUCAAAUCAUCAUGCCCCUUAUGACCUGGGCUACAAACGUGAUACAAUGGCUGGAACAAAGGGAUGCGAAGCAGUGAUGUGGAGCGAAACCCAUAAAAACAGUCUCAGUUCGGAUUGAAGUCUGCAACUCGACUUCAUGAAGUCGGAAUCGCUAGUAACCGCAGAUCAGCUACGUUGCGGUGAAUACGUUCCCGGGCCUU